AUACUUACCUGGCAGGGGAGAUACCAUGAUCAGGAAGGUGGCUUUCCCAGGACGAGGCUCAUCCAUUGCACUCCGGAUGUGCUGAACCCUGUGAUUUCCCCAAAUGUGGGAAACUCAACUGCAUAAUUUGUGGUAGUGGGGGACUGCAUUCACACUCUCCCCUA
Molecule: small nuclear RNA, 164 nt
Filed under: Echinops telfairi (small Madagascar hedgehog)
Lineage: Eukaryota; Metazoa; Chordata; Mammalia; Afrosoricida; Tenrecidae
Description: U1 spliceosomal RNA (ENSETEG00000021150.1)
Rfam family: U1 spliceosomal RNA
About the family: U1 is a small nuclear RNA (snRNA) component of the spliceosome (involved in pre-mRNA splicing). Its 5' end forms complementary base pairs with the 5' splice junction, thus defining the 5' donor site of an intron.
Source: RNAcentral